GGGAAAGUUAGUGGCAAACGGGUGAGUAACGCGUAGGCAACCUGCCCUUNAGAUGGGGACAACACUUCGAAAGAGGUUGCUAAUACCGAAUGACGUAUCCAUUCCGCAUGGAGAGGAUACCAAAGGCCGGGCAACCGGUCACUGAAGGAUGGGCCUGCGUCUGAUUAGCUAGUUGGUGGGGUAACGGCCCACCAAGGCGACGAUCAGUAGCCGGUCUGAGAGGUUGAACGGCCACAUUGGGACUGAGACACGGCCCAGACUCCUACGGGAGGCAGCAGUGGGGAAUAUUGCACAAUGGGCGCAAGCCUGAUGCAGCAACGCCGCGUGGAGGAAGACGGUUUUCGGAUUGUAAACUCCUGUUCUUAGUGAAGAAUAAUGACGGUAGCUAAGGAGCAAGCCACGGCUAACUACGUG
RNAcentral lists this ribosomal RNA (414 nucleotides) under uncultured bacterium. RNAcentral's name for it is "bacterial SSU rRNA". It matches the Rfam family "Bacterial small subunit ribosomal RNA", at positions 85 to 507 of the family's 1533-position model. The record is from RNAcentral.